This is a non-coding RNA of Myotis davidii, 126 nucleotides long. NCBI's taxonomy places the organism in Eukaryota, Metazoa, Chordata, Mammalia, Chiroptera, Vespertilionidae. The record is from Rfam.
CGUGCAUCGGUGGGGUCCCUCAGCCUGGCUUGCAACCUCUCGCAUUCCAGGACCCCUCAGGGGAUGUCAGGGAGCCGGUUUUGGCCCAAUCCCGCAGGCCAGGCUGAGGGACCCCACUGGUGCAUG